Molecule: ribosomal RNA, 634 nt
Filed under: uncultured bacterium
Lineage: Bacteria
Description: bacterial SSU rRNA
Rfam family: Bacterial small subunit ribosomal RNA
Source: RNAcentral
AGAGUUUGAUCCUGGCUCAGGACGAACGCUGGCGGCGUGCCUAAUACAUGCAAGUCGAACGAACUCUGGUAUUGAUUGGUGCUUGCAUCAUGAUUUACAUUUGAGUGAGUGGCGAACUGGUGAGUAACACGUGGGAAACCUGCCCAGAAGCGGGGGAUAACACCUGGAAACAGAUGCUAAUACCGCAUAACAACUUGGACCGCAUGGUCCGAGCUUGAAAGAUGGCUUCGGCUAUCACUUUUGGAUGGUCCCGCGGCGUAUUAGCUAGAUGGUGGGGUAACGGCUCACCAUGGCAAUGAUACGUAGCCGACCUGAGAGGGUAAUCGGCCACAUUGGGACUGAGACACGGCCCAAACUCCUACGGGAGGCAGCAGUAGGGAAUCUUCCACAAUGGACGAAAGUCUGAUGGAGCAACGCCGCGUGAGUGAAGAAGGGUUUCGGCUCGUAAAACUCUGUUGUUAAAGAAGAACAUAUCUGAGAGUAACUGUUCAGGUAUUGACGGUAUUUAACCAGAAAGCCACGGCUAACUACGUGCCAGCAGCCGCGGUAAUACGUAGGUGGCAAGCGUUGUCCGGAUUUAUUGGGCGUAAAGCGAGCGCAGGCGGUUUUUUAAGUCUGAUGUGAAAGCCUUCGG